RNAcentral lists this ribosomal RNA (261 nucleotides) under uncultured soil bacterium. RNAcentral's name for it is "partial 16S ribosomal RNA". It matches the Rfam family "Bacterial small subunit ribosomal RNA", at positions 26 to 288 of the family's 1533-position model. The record is from RNAcentral.
AGAUUGAACGCUAGCGGGAUGCUUAACGACAUGCAAGUCGAACGGCAGCGCGGACUUCGGUCUGGCGGCGAGUGGCGAACGGGUGAGUAAUAUAUCGGAACGUGCCCAGUAGCGGGGGAUAACUACGCGAAAGCGUGGCUAAUACCGCAUACGCCCUACGGGGGAAAGGGGGGGAUCGCAAGACCUCUCACUAUUGGAGCGGCCGAUAUCAGAUUAGCUAGUUGGUGAGGUAAAGGCUCACCAAGGCGACGAUCUGUAGCU